This 73-nucleotide transfer RNA is filed under the name Marmota monax (woodchuck). RNAcentral's name for it is "tRNA.Ala". The record is from RNAcentral. Lineage: Eukaryota; Metazoa; Chordata; Mammalia; Rodentia; Sciuridae.
GGGGUGUUUGGCUCAGUGGAAAGAGCACUUGCCUAGCAUGUGUGAGGCACUGGGUUCAAUUCUCAGCACUGCA